This is a non-coding RNA of Lactuca sativa (garden lettuce), 1022 nucleotides long. The record is from RefSeq and is a predicted model, not a curated record. NCBI's taxonomy places the organism in Eukaryota, Viridiplantae, Streptophyta, Magnoliopsida, Asterales, Asteraceae.
UAAUUCAAUCGAAAUAGGGAAAAAAGGGAUCUCCGUUUUCUUCAAGUCAAGAAAAAAAGAACAGCCGAUCGAAGGAAAACAAGAAGCGGUCAUGAACAGGCGACAUUCUCCAAUCGAAAGACGAGGGAGGUCGUCGUCUCCGGGAUUGGUGAGGCCGAAGCAACGUAGCUUCCCUCUUCUUGUCCCGCUGCGAGGCGUGAAGUCCGGGAGUCUCAAGCAGAAGUAGCACUGAAGCAGGCGUGUUUUCAGUGAUCAAUCGCGAGAUGGAUUAUUGUCUCCGGGGUUCGACGGCCGAAGGGGAGAAGCAGCGAAGGGUCAGGUAUCGCCAGCAGCAGCAGUGACGAAGGCGGGGUGUUGGCGUCGUUGCUCGGUCUAAGGGUGAACGGGGAAUGCAAGGAAAACUACCUAUGAGGUGAACUCGAAGGGAUAAUGGUCCAAUCGAUGGAACAGAUGGUGAGGAGGCGUUGGUCUCCAGCGAUUUUAGGGAAAGAAGAUAGAUCAACACAAGGAUAUCUAGGGUGUUUGGUUUUGGUUCCUGGCUAAAAAUCAAAGAAGAAUAAAGAACACUAACAAAAGAUAUUCAAGGUUGUUUUGAUUUUGAGUUUUUUGAUAGACACCAAUAGGGGAAAUGGGUUUGAUGUUCUUAGUCCAUUUUUGAGAUUGGAUCGAUGAUUAUCAGUACACAAUACCAUACUUGUAUAGAAAUAUCAUUGUUUAUGUAAAUUUUACGGUUGUGUUUGAAUGUUCUAACAGUGAAGAAGGAGUGCACGGUUCAAUUUAGAAAGGGAAAGCAAACACUCAAUUAGUUGUACAAAAUAUAACUUAGAAAGGCAACACUCAAUCAAUUGUACAAAAUAUAGCUUAGAAUAAUUUGGCUGUCGUUAUUUAUGUCUUUAUUUAUUUAUUUAUUAUUUGUAUUUGGUAGAUUAAAUAGAUGUAUUUGUGUAUGUGUUGUAAAAUCGUAAUUUUGUGUACAUUUAACUUUUUGGAAUUGUAUAUGAAAUCUUCAAUUUGAUUUUUAA